Molecule: ribosomal RNA, 501 nt
Filed under: Lactiplantibacillus plantarum
Lineage: Bacteria; Bacillati; Bacillota; Bacilli; Lactobacillales; Lactobacillaceae
Description: bacterial SSU rRNA
Rfam family: Bacterial small subunit ribosomal RNA
Source: RNAcentral
AUGAUUUACAUUUGAGUGAGUGGCGAACUGGUGAGUAACACGUGGGAAACCUGCCCAGAAGCGGGGGAUAACACCUGGAAACAGAUGCUAAUACCGCAUAACAACUUGGACCGCAUGGUCCGAGUUUGAAAGAUGGCUUCGGCUAUCACUUUUGGAUGGUCCCGCGGCGUAUUAGCUAGAUGGUGGGGUAACGGCUCACCAUGGCAAUGAUACGUAGCCGACCUGAGAGGGUAAUCGGCCACAUUGGGACUGAGACACGGCCCAAACUCCUACGGGAGGCAGCAGUAGGGAAUCUUCCACAAUGGACGAAAGUCUGAUGGAGCAACGCCGCGUGAGUGAAGAAGGGUUUCGGCUCGUAAAACUCUGUUGUUAAAGAAGAACAUAUCUGAGAGUAACUGUUCAGGUAUUGACGGUAUUUAACCAGAAAGCCACGGCUAACUACGUGCCAGCAGCCGCGGUAAUACGUAGGUGGCAAGCGUUGUCCGGAUUUAUUGGGCGUAA